GACGAACGCUGGCGGCGUGCCUAAUACAUGCAAGUCGAACGAGAGCGACCGGUGCUUGCACUGGUCAAUCUAGUGGCGAACGGGUGAGUAACACGUGGGUAACCUGCCCAACAGAGGGGGAUAACAUCCGGAAACGGAUGCUAAAACCGCAUAGGUCCUCGAACCGCAUGGUUUGAGGAGGAAAAGAGGCGCUAGCUUCAGCUGACGGAUGGACCGGCGGUGCAUUAGCUAGUUGGUGAGGAAACGGUUCACCAAGGCCGUGAUGCAUAGCCGACCUGGGAGGGGGAUCGGCCACAUUGUGACUGAGACACGGCCCAAACUCCGACGGGGGGCAGCAGUAGGGAAUCUUCCGCAAUGGACGCAAGUCUGACGGAGCAACGCCGCGUGAGUGAAGAAGGUUUUCGGAUCGUAAAGCUCUGUUGUUAGGGAAGAACAAGUGCUAGAGUAACUGUUAGCGCCUUGACGGUAUCUAACCAGAAAGCCACGGCUAACUACGUG
Molecule: ribosomal RNA, 498 nt
Filed under: uncultured bacterium
Lineage: Bacteria
Description: partial 16S ribosomal RNA
Rfam family: Bacterial small subunit ribosomal RNA
Source: RNAcentral